CUGUAAUAAUAAUAAAAACUCCAUAAUGACGGGAAGAAGGAGGCGGGAACCGGCGAACACUCAAAUAAAACUUUAAUGACAAAAUAAAUACAAAACAGUGCGACAGCCCCUCACGGGCGACUGCCGCGCAUAAACAAAAACCAAACACAAAAUAAAGCCCAGGCCUGGUCCUCUCUCGUCCUUCACUGUCGUCGCUCCUCUUUUGUAUCCUCCCGAUCUCCUCCGUGGGACUCGAGACCGGUGAGUGGAGCAGGUGUCGCUCAUUUCCCAAUCACUCCACCGGCCUCGCUCCGUUCCCACGGCUCUCGGCCCCGCCCCACUCAUCACAUACCCCCAUCGCCCCUCGCAGGCCGGGGGGUACUCCCGAGACUGCGCUCUACUCCCCCACCCCCCCCUCCCCCUCCCUCCGGGGGGGAACGCUCACGGUGACCUGCGGGAACCUGGGGGUAAGGAAAGACGAGGCGAGAGAAAAGGAGAUGGAAGGAUGAGGAGCGACGGGAGACGAGAGAGGGGAGAGAGGAGAAAAAAAAAUAAAAAUUCCGGUUCCCAGACACGCUGCCGCUCGGCCCUCCACCGGCUGUGUGAAGUCCUCCGCGGUGCCUGGCGGUGGCACUGGACGGCCCUCGGUGGACGGCACGACACUCCUCCGCCGCCCGGUGGACGGCGACGGCUCCUCCGGUUUCGGGCAGCCGGCAGGAGUCCCCCGUUCCCUGCUCCUCCCCAUUCUUGGCGGAUGGCAGCAGGCUCCGGCCACCUGGCGAACGGCGCCGACUCCUCCGCUCCCUUACGGACGGCAGCCGCCCCUCCACAUCACGGGCGGCCGGCAGCGAGUUCGUCCGUCCCCGGCAACUCACUCCAGCCCACCGCCUCGAGCGUCCACGGCGCCAGACUGCUACGCCUUGCUCCAUGGCACCGCGGAUUCACCCCAGCGGCAAGGGAUCUUCGGCAGCGCGUCCCUCCUUCCUCCCGGGUUUCGGCACCACUCUAUAAUAAUAAAAACUCCAUAAUGACGGGAAGAAGGAGGCGGGAACCGGCGAACACUCAAAUAAAACUUUA
Cyprinus carpio carpio is the source of this 1056-nucleotide long non-coding RNA. The record is from Ensembl. NCBI's taxonomy places the organism in Eukaryota, Metazoa, Chordata, Actinopteri, Cypriniformes, Cyprinidae.